Molecule: non-coding RNA, 109 nt
Filed under: uncultured Mantoniella
Lineage: Eukaryota; Viridiplantae; Chlorophyta; Mamiellophyceae; Mamiellales
Source: RNAcentral
CUCCAAUUAUCGGCAGCGAGGACGGGUGCCCAUGCGGGAAAGGCAUGCGCGGGACAACAGCGGGGUGGAUUUCAAUAGCGAGGGUAGGGGGUAUAGAAGUUGAGGGGGG